Molecule: transfer RNA, 67 nt
Organism: Camelus ferus (Wild Bactrian camel)
Lineage: Eukaryota; Metazoa; Chordata; Mammalia; Artiodactyla; Camelidae
Rfam family: tRNA
About the family: Transfer RNA (tRNA) molecules are approximately 80 nucleotides in length. Their secondary structure includes four short double-helical elements and three loops (D, anti-codon, and T loops).
Source: Rfam
GAAGGUAUAGCUCAGUGGUAGAGUGCCUGCAUGCAUGAGGUCCUGGGUUCAAUCCCCAGUGCCUCCA